ACACGCCUGAGAUGUUCGCGGGGUUUAUUUAUAUUACUUCCACAUUUUGACAUACGGGAAUUCAGUAUUGAUGAUGCGGAUGUCGGGCCGCCUUAUGAGCGGAUGGCUGAAGUGUCUCCGAGAUAUCCCACCUAGCCUUUGGCUGGGAGUCAAUAAUAGGCUUUACGGCACCUUGGGUUUUUU
Molecule: non-coding RNA, 183 nt
Filed under: Eubacteriales bacterium
Lineage: Bacteria; Bacillati; Bacillota; Clostridia; Eubacteriales
Description: 6S RNA
Rfam family: 6S / SsrS RNA
About the family: E. coli 6S RNA was the first non coding RNA to be sequenced, but its function was unknown until recently. It consists of 184 nucleotides that fold into an extended hairpin structure with a large single-stranded internal bulge.
Source: RNAcentral